GGUCCUGUAGCUCAGUCGGCAGAGCAUACGCCUGAAAAGCGUAGGGUCACCGGAUCGACGCCGGUCAGGACCACC
This 75-nucleotide transfer RNA is filed under the name freshwater metagenome. RNAcentral's name for it is "tRNA-Phe". It matches the Rfam family "tRNA". From Rfam's summary of the family: Transfer RNA (tRNA) molecules are approximately 80 nucleotides in length. Their secondary structure includes four short double-helical elements and three loops (D, anti-codon, and T loops). Further hydrogen bonds mediate the characteristic L-shaped molecular structure. tRNAs have two regions of fundamental functional importance: the anti-codon, which is responsible for specific mRNA codon recognition, and the 3' end, to which the tRNAs corresponding amino acid is attached (by aminoacyl-tRNA synthetases). tRNAs cope with the degeneracy of the genetic code in two manners: having more than one tRNA (with a specific anti-codon) for a particular amino acid; and 'wobble' base-pairing, i.e. permitting non-standard base-pairing at the 3rd anti-codon position. The record is from RNAcentral.